CCUACGGGCGGCAGCAGUGGGGAAUAUUGCACAAUGGGGGAAACCCUGAUGCAGCGACGCCGCGUGAGUGAAGAAGUAAUUCGUUAUGUAAAGCUCUAUCAGCCGGGAAGAAAAUGACGGUACCUGAGUAAGAAGCACCGGCUAACUACGUGCCAGCAGCCGCGGUAAUACGUAGGGGGCAAGCGUUAUCCGGAUUUACGGGGUGUAACGGGAGUGUAGACGGCAGUGCAAGUCUGGAGUGAAAGGCGGGGGCUCAACCCCCGGACUGCUCUGGAAACUGUACGGCUGGAGGGCAGGAGAGGUAAGUGGAAUGCCUAGUGGAGCGGUGAAAUGCGUAGAUAUUAGGAGGAACACCAGUGGCGAAGGCGGCUUACUGGACUGUAACUGACGUUGAGGCUCGAAAGCGUGGGGAGCAAACAGGAGUAGAUACCCCUGUAGUC
Molecule: ribosomal RNA, 440 nt
Filed under: uncultured bacterium
Lineage: Bacteria
Description: partial 16S ribosomal RNA
Rfam family: Bacterial small subunit ribosomal RNA
Source: RNAcentral